Molecule: long non-coding RNA, 1091 nt
Organism: Stylophora pistillata
Lineage: Eukaryota; Metazoa; Cnidaria; Anthozoa; Scleractinia; Pocilloporidae
Source: RefSeq, a predicted model, not a curated record
CAGCCAUUUAUGAAAGUGGUCUAUGAGGGGCCAAUUUCUUCAGGGUAUUUCUGAGAGAGCCAUUAAUGAUUAUCAAUAUUCAGAAGAUGUACUGAAACAGUCUGUGCCACUUCAAUAUAUAAAUCUUGUCUGUAAAACACAAAGUUAACUUUUUUAAUACUGAAAAAGAAGUGUGGCUGCUACAUAACAUUAAAUGUCUUGGAGUAGACUUAAGGUUACCCAAGCUCAGUUUCUCAGAUGAUAAUGUUGACAAGUUUGUUAAAAUUUUAGACAUUGGUCAUGUCAUACAGAUCCCAGGGGCAUCAGUUGUUUCUUGCACAGUCACUGGCCUGGUGUUUAUGAUUAUUGAUUUGCACAUGAGAGUUCCCCAUCUUUCUUGUAAACUUGUCUGGUUCAAUGAAAAUGAAAACCAUUUAAUUUUUCAGUUGUCAGAUGAUGGAGCUCCUGAAACAAAUGAGCUGACAAUGUCAAUUGGAAGUAUAGUGUGCUGGAACUUUGGUGAUCAGGUGUAAGUGUAAAAGAGAAAGAUCAAAUAAUGCAUGACCUCUGGAAGCAGCUCACUGAAGAGAUGAAAAUGUUUGAAGUUGAACGGAAGUUGCAUAAGCACACAGGAGACGCUUUUAGAGAUGAUGCAAUGCGAAAGUUGCAUAAGCAGGUGUAGGAUAGAUUACAAGUUUGUAACAGGAGACGCCGGAGAUGAUAAAAUUAGUUUUUGUGUGUGAGAGCAAACAUUAAGAGAGACGUUGUGAAAACAAGGAGGAGAAUAAAACAAGAUUUGUUAAGGACAAUUUUCGAGUACUUGAGUUAGAGUGUACCCCACAAGUUUGGUACAUUUGUGUUAAUGUCGCAACAUGGACAGUUGGAUAUGCCAUUCCCUAUCAUGCAAAUUUGCUGUUUACAAGGUAUAGGGUGGGUUAUGGCAUUGUCUCUUUGCAGGCUAAAGAGGCCAAACAUUCUGGAGUGAGGGAAGAUUUGACCUUAACUAACCAGUCAAAUUUCUGCAAUGCCACAGAGGGAAGAAGUGUAGCUAUCAAUCCAACUUUGGUGACAGUACCUGUUUUAAAGGAAGCUUUACAUAGUAGAGGAUUAAG